AUUGAACGCUGGCGGCAUGCUUUACACAUGCAAGUCGAACGGCAGCGCGGGCUUCGGCCUGGCGGCGAGUGGCGAACGGGUGAGUAAUGCAUCGGAACGUGCCCAGUAGUGGGGGAUAGCCCGGCGAAAGCCGGAUUAAUACCGCAUACGACCUGAGGGUGAAAGCGGGGGACCGAAAGGCCUCGCGCUAUUGUAGCGGCCGAUGUCGGAUUAGCUAGUUGGUGGGGUAAAGGCUUACCAAGGCGACGAUCCGUAGCUGGUCUGAGAGGACGACCAGCCACACGGGGACUGAGACACGGCCCAGACUCCUACGGGAGGCAGCAGUGGGGAAUUUUGGACAAUGGGGGCAACCCUGAUCCAGCCAUGCCGCGUGCGGGAAGAAGGCCUUCGGGUUGUAAACCGCUUUUGUUCGGGAAGAAAUCCUCUGGGCUAAUACCCCGGGGGGAUGACGGUACCGGAAGAAUAAGCACCGGCUAACUACGUG
This 484-nucleotide ribosomal RNA is filed under the name uncultured bacterium. RNAcentral describes it as "partial 16S ribosomal RNA". It matches the Rfam family "Bacterial small subunit ribosomal RNA", at positions 28 to 507 of the family's 1533-position model. The record is from RNAcentral.